UGGGCCCACAUUCAAAGCUAAGAAAAGGAAACUUUACCAGCUUUUCUGCAGAUUUUUUUUUUUUGAUUUUUCAAUUUUUUCGAAUUCUAUUUUUUUGGUGAAAGAUUUCUAGUAUCUCAGUGAAUACACAUCCUCAGCCAAUGCCAGCUGCUUGUAAGAGCUUCUAAAGUUUUUUCAAUCAUUCUAUUCUAGUCAUUACAUACAUUUUCUACUUGUCCAUCAUUAAUAUUUCUUUUAUGCAAUUAAAAAAGUACUGUAAAUUGAUAUUUUACUUUCAUUCCACUUGGCCAAACUCCACUGUGGGAGCCUGCAGCUCAUCCAGUGGCCCUGGGUGAGAUGUGAGCCCCAUUCCCUGCAGCUCCUGGGUGGAAGUUGCUGCUGGAGCAGAGCUCUCCCUGACCCCCUGACACCCAGUUUUUACUUAAGGAAACACAGGCCAGGAGGGAUCUGCAGUGACAUCCAACAGGGAUCUGCACCACCGUGCCCAGCAUGAGAGGCUUCAGUGGGGCACCUUUUCUCUGCAAUCUGGCCACAUCCAGAGAUGGAGGAAACACGUUUGGUUGCAAAACCAAAGCACAAGACUGCAUCUCCAAACCUUCAGCACAUACAAGUGGCCUCCUCCCCCUGACGUCUCAUUUCUCAGCUUUAGAUUAAAUUCCAGAUUUCAGCUUCUCAACUUCAAACUCCUGGAGGGACAUGAAGCCCUUGAGCCUUUGCAAGACCUGAGCUACUUGACCACUCAUCUUCAUUUUAUGGUUGUUUAUCUUUCCUACUUUUUCAUGCUCUGGACUGUUAACAAGGCAAGAAAAUGCUUCUCAGGCCACACAAACACUGUCAUAUGAGCUCUCCUGAUGCACAGGCAGCAGUCACCCAUGUGUACACACCAGCUGCAAUUUUGGGGGACGCUGAGCCCAGUAUUCAAAGCCCAUCAGGACAAGCUCAUCCGUGGAAAACAGAGCUGCUUGCAUUCAUAUUUUUCAGCAAUGUAAGCAAAGCCGCUGAUUAAUGUGCAUUUGCAAGGAAAGGCCCAGUAACCACCUCCAAACACCCUUAUGCCAUAAAGGAAAGAGAAGUGACUAUGGGAGAGGUGACAUAUCUGAGGUGGGAAAGAGAAAAAGAAAAUAACAACGAACCAGAAAGUGUCAGGCAGCAGUUUAGAGGAGAGGCUCACACAGGGUUGAACUCCAUUUUAAGGUUCUGAUUUAUCUGAGUUGAGCAUGGCAUCAGUUGAAAUUCAGAAUGAAACUAGGACACAAACUUAAUUGCAAAACCAGCUGAAACCACAGGAUGCAGUCACAGAAAAUUCUCACUCGUUUGAGGCUGGCAUAGGGUUUCACCAAGCUUCAGCAGGAGGUUUUGGGGGCCCCAAAAUAGAUUAAGGGAGUUAAAAUUCAGUUGCUUUCCCAGAUUCAGCCCUGGCCUAGCAGAAGUAGAGAAGGGGAUGAUUAGAGAGUAUCCACACAAGUAGGAGUGAUGGCUGGCUGGCACAUUGCUUGUCCACCUAAGAAGGUGAGAUUUGUAGGGGUUAUGUUGUAACUGUUGGUGUAAACAGAUAUGGUCAUCCUAAAAUGCCUCUGUCCAACACUGUGGCCAUGAGUGACACAGAAAACCAAAGGUCAACAGCUGUUCCUCUUGUAAGAAAAAAGUGAACCAAGAACCUCAGACCUGCGGAGACCGGCCAGCCACAGCGCUCACACCGCU
This is a long non-coding RNA of Chloebia gouldiae (Gouldian finch), 1701 nucleotides long. The record is from Ensembl. Lineage: Eukaryota; Metazoa; Chordata; Aves; Passeriformes; Passeridae.